RNAcentral lists this microRNA precursor (74 nucleotides) under Mus spretus (western wild mouse). RNAcentral describes it as "predicted gene, 56135 (ENSMSPG00010034684.1)". Lineage: Eukaryota; Metazoa; Chordata; Mammalia; Rodentia; Muridae. The record is from RNAcentral.
CCUGGACUCACUUUGUAGACCAGGCUGGCCUCAAACUCACAGAAAUCUGCCCACCUCUGCCUCCUGAGUGCAGG